Actinia tenebrosa (Australian red waratah sea anemone) is the source of this 349-nucleotide long non-coding RNA. NCBI's taxonomy places the organism in Eukaryota, Metazoa, Cnidaria, Anthozoa, Actiniaria, Actiniidae. The record is from RefSeq and is a predicted model, not a curated record.
UCAUAAACGAAAAGCCAGAUAGCAUCAAUUGGACGCACAGCAACCAACUAACAACAAGAGAGGUUUACGCAUCGAAGUAUAAUCUUCCUGUGCAUUCAUCAGUUCCAGUUCCAGUGAAGACGGCUCUUGUCAACGAUGACCACGUUGAAGCUGACUUCUUUGAACGCAACUAAGGAUUUAUACGAUAUACAUAAAUGACUGUAGUCGAGCAUUAAAAUCAUCCGUCGAAAACAGAAAAGAAUCAUUGCCCAAAAAUAUUUCUUCCCAUGACGUUACCAGUGCAAAGACAGACGACAUCUUCACCAAUCUGACAGUAUAUUAUGCCAAUGAAAAGCAAGAGAAAAAAAAA